GACGAACGCUGGCGGCGUGCUUAACACAUGCAAGUCGAACGCUGAACCCGCUUCGGUGGGGGAUGAGUGGCGAACGGGUGAGUAACACGUGGGCAACCUGCCCCCGGCUCUGGGAUAACUCCAAGAAAUUGGGGCUAAUACCGGAUGUGACCGCUGGCCGCAUGGUCUGGUGGUGGAAAGGGUUUCCGGCUGGGGAUGGGCCCGCGGCCCAUCAGCUUGUUGGUGGGGUAGUGGCCUACCAAGGCGACGACGGGUAGCCGGCCUGAGAGGGUGACCGGCCACACUGGGACUGAGACACGGCCCAGACUCCUACGGGAGGCAGCAGUGGGGAAUAUUGCGCAAUGGGCGGAAGCCUGACGCAGCGACGCCGCGUGGGGGAUGACGGCCUUCGGGUUGUAAACCUCUUUCAGCAGGGACGAAGCGCAAGUGACGGUACCUGCAGAAGAAGCACCGGCCAACUACGUG
RNAcentral lists this ribosomal RNA (465 nucleotides) under uncultured bacterium. RNAcentral describes it as "partial 16S ribosomal RNA". It matches the Rfam family "Bacterial small subunit ribosomal RNA", at positions 28 to 507 of the family's 1533-position model. The record is from RNAcentral.